This is a long non-coding RNA of Quercus robur (English oak), 1110 nucleotides long. RefSeq lists it as uncharacterized. Lineage: Eukaryota; Viridiplantae; Streptophyta; Magnoliopsida; Fagales; Fagaceae. The transcript is spliced from 2 exons. The record is from RefSeq and is a predicted model, not a curated record.
UACGUCCAAUCCAUCUCUCUUUUGAUGGGUUUUUUGUACAGUUAGCGUGAAGCAAAAGAAGCUUUUGGAAGUCCUUUGAGGAUUCGGGGCUCUUUUACAAUUAUAAAUUCACACACUCUCUCUUUCUCCGUGUUAAAGAAGCUGUCUUUUACUCUCUUCUAUCUGAAUCUGACUACUCCACACACUCUUUUCUCUGAGUCACAAUAUUCUCACUUUGUAAGCUUAUUGGGUUUUGUUUGGUUUUGUUUAAGGGAAGCAAAAUCUAAGUCAGAAACAUUAUGACAAUGUCUUGUUUGUGUCAAUGCUUUUAGUGUUAUCAUUUGUCUCAGAGUUAAAAACCUUCAAAAAAUGGAAAAAGGUAUUGUGCACUUAUCUGGAAAUUGCUGUCUUCCUUCAAGAAAUCUCCACAUUUGGAAAAAGGCCAAUGCAUCAUAUAUGGAAAAUUAUGUUCCCCUCCAAGCAACCUCUCUCUCUCACUCUCUCUCUCUCUCAGGAAGAAGACAAGAAAGAUGUUGGUGUUGACAACGAGCUUUUUACCAUCUCCUUGUGAUCCAAAUUAUUUAAACUUUUCAAAAGCUCUUAUUACUCCAAAUUUGCGAACUGGGACACACAGGGUUGAAUCUCUGAAGGCCUAAGCAAGCGUCCACCUUGGAUUUUGGGUGGUUUAUCUACAAAUUUAUGUGUAAUCUAGAUUAUUCUUUUGUGUGUUUUGAAUUUCACAAGAUGGAAAAUUUGCAGAUCUGAAUAUUUUGUAGAUCUAAGCAAAUCAAAGUUUGAAGAUGGUGGGUAUAGAUUUUGUAAUUCUCUCAUGAGUUGGAUGGGAUCCUUUCAACACCACCAUUUUCGACGAAGCUUAUUCGAGACCCUUGACGAUCUCAGCGAGAAUACAAGUCUGCACGGUUGGAAUAACGAUUGUACUAAGAUGAUUAGAUCAGUUGUUGAGGUUUUUGGUGGAAAUUUGGGUGAUUUUGUGGUUGAAGAUUUAUGAAAUUAGGGAUAGAAGACUUAUGCCAAGAAAGUGAGAGAAAAGAAAUUUUGUGUAUUGAGAUUUUCUUUGUUGUCCUGUUUGGUGGGUAAGAAAGCGAGAAUAGAAAGUUGUUUUUUUUUUUU